Molecule: non-coding RNA, 82 nt
Organism: Pangasianodon gigas (Mekong giant catfish)
Lineage: Eukaryota; Metazoa; Chordata; Actinopteri; Siluriformes; Pangasiidae
Source: the annotation of a GenBank genome assembly
GUAUAUAUUGAAAUAUGUGAGAAUUCUGUGUGUUCGUCUUUAAAGAUUGACCAGGAUCUCUCCAAGAUGUUUGGAGAUGAGA